This 272-nucleotide small RNA is filed under the name uncultured Succinivibrio sp. RNAcentral's name for it is "5' ureB small RNA". It matches the Rfam family "5' ureB small RNA". Lineage: Bacteria; Pseudomonadati; Pseudomonadota; Gammaproteobacteria; Aeromonadales; Succinivibrionaceae. The record is from RNAcentral.
CUGCUGAGGGCAGAUAAAGUGAACAUGAGAGUCAAUGCCACCUGCAGUUACAAUCAGACCUUCACCUGAAAUUACCUCAGUGCCGGCACCGAUCUCAAAAUCAACACCAUUUUGCACAUCACUGUUACCUGCUUUGCCAAUAGCUGCAAUACGACCGUACUUAAUACCGAUAUCAGCUUUGUAAAUACCAGUGUAAUCAACAAUAAUGGCAUUGGUGAUAACAGUAUCUACAGUGUCUUUAUCGCACUUUUGACCUUGUCCCUGGCCAUCAC